RNAcentral lists this ribosomal RNA (819 nucleotides) under uncultured eukaryote. Its description in RNAcentral is "SSU rRNA". It matches the Rfam family "Eukaryotic small subunit ribosomal RNA", at positions 629 to 1426 of the family's 1831-position model. The record is from RNAcentral.
CGGUGUUUAACUGGCGUGAUGCGGGACGUCCUACCGGUGGGCUUAGCCUCGCGAGGGGCGGCCCAACUAAUAUCCCGUCGCGGUGCUCUUUACUGAGUGUCGAGUCGGGCCGGUACGUUUACUUUGAACAAAUUAGAGUGCUUAAAGCAGGCUAUCCUCGCCUGAAUACUGCGUGCAUGGAAUAAUGGAAUAGGACCUCGGUUCUAUUUUGUUGGUUUUCGGAACCCCGAGGUAAUGAUUAAUAGGGACAGAUGGGGGCAUUCGUAUUGCGACGUUAGAGGUGAAAUUCUUGGAUCGUCGCAAGACGGACAGAAGCGAAAGCAUUUGCCAAAAAUGUUUUCAUUAAUCAAGAACGAAAGUUAGAGGUUCGAAGGCGAUCAGGUACCGCCCUAGUUCUAACCAUAAACGAUGCCAGCUAGCGAUCCGCCGAAGUUCCUCCGAUGACUCGGCGGGCAGCUUCCGGGAAACCAAAGCUUUUGGGUUCCGGGGGAAGUAUGGUUGCAAAGCUGAAACUUAAAGGAAUUGACGGAAGGGCACCACCAGGAGUGGAGCCUGCGGCUUAAUUUGACUCAACACGGGAAACCUCACCAGGCCCAGACACCGGAAGGAUUGACAGAUUGAUAGCUCUUUCUUGAUUCGGUGGGUGGUGGUGCAUGGCCGUUCUUAGUUGGUGGAGCGAUUUGUCUGGUUAAUUCCGAUAACGAACGAGACUCUAGCCUGCUAAAUAGGCGUACCUUAUGGUAUCGCGAAGGCCCCCGGCUUCGGCCGGUGGGUUUUUACUACCAACGUACAAACAAAUCUUCUUAGAGGGACGGGCGG